ACAGGUGCUGCAUGGCUGUCGUCAGCUCGUGUCGUGAGAUGUUGGGUUAAAGUCCCGCAACGAGCGCAACCCUUGUCUUUAAUUGCCAGCAUUCAGUUGGGCACUUUAAAGAGACUGCCGGUGUUAAGCCGGAGAAGGUGGGGAUGACGUCAAGUCCUCAUGGCCUUUAUGCCCAGGGCUACACACGUGCUACAAUGGUUGGUACAACGAGUUGCGAGUCGGUGACGGCGAGCUAAUCUCUUAAAGCCAAUCUCAGUUCGGAUUGUAGGCUGCAACUCGCCUACAUGAAGUCGGAAUCGCUAGUAAUCGCGGAUCAGCACGCCGCGGUGAAUACGUUCCCGGGCCUU
This 347-nucleotide ribosomal RNA is filed under the name uncultured Streptococcus sp. RNAcentral's name for it is "bacterial SSU rRNA". It matches the Rfam family "Bacterial small subunit ribosomal RNA", at positions 1034 to 1382 of the family's 1533-position model. Lineage: Bacteria; Bacillati; Bacillota; Bacilli; Lactobacillales; Streptococcaceae. The record is from RNAcentral.